RNAcentral lists this ribosomal RNA (602 nucleotides) under uncultured bacterium. Its description in RNAcentral is "bacterial SSU rRNA". It matches the Rfam family "Bacterial small subunit ribosomal RNA", at positions 239 to 833 of the family's 1533-position model. The record is from RNAcentral.
GAUUAGCCGGUUGGUGAGGUAACGGCUCACCAAAGCAACGAUCAGUAGCUGCUCUGAGAGGACGACCAGCCACACUGGGACUGAGGCACGGCCCAGACUCCUACGGGAGGCAGCAGUGGGGAAUUUUGGACAAUGGGCGCAAGCCUGAUCCAGCUAUUCCGCGUGUGGGAUGAAGGCCCUCGGGUUGUAAACCACUUUUGUAGAGAACGAAAAGACACCUUUUAAUAAAGGGUGUUGCUGACGGUACUCUAAGAAUAAGCACCGGCUAACUACGUGCCAGCAGCCGCGGUAAUACGUAGGGUGCGAGCGUUAAUCGGAAUUACUGGGCGUAAAGGGUGCGCAGGCGGUUGAGUAAGACAGAUGUGAAAUCCCCGAGCUUAACUCGGGAAUGGCAUAUGUGACUGCUCGACUAGAGUGUGUCAGAGGGAGGUGGAAUUCCACGUGUAGCAGUGAAAUGCGUAGAUAUGUGGAAGAACACCGAUGGCGAAGGCAGCCUCCUGGGACAUAACUGACGCUCAGGCACGAAAGCGUGGGGAGCAAACAGGAUUAGAUACCCUGGUAGUCCACGCCCUAAACGAUGUUAACUAGUUGUUGGGAAGUAA